CCUACGGGCGGCAGCAGUGAGGAAUAUUGGUCAAUGGGCGAGAGCCUGAACCAGCCAAGUAGCGUGAAGGAUGACGGCCCUACGGGUUGUAAACUUCUUUUAUAAAGGAAUAAAGUGAGGCACGUGUGCCGUUUUGUAUGUACUUUAUGAAUAAGGAUCGGCUAACUCCGUGCCAGCAGCCGCGGUAAUACGGAGGAUCCGAGCGUUAUCCGGAUUUAUUGGGUUUAAAGGGAGCGUCGUUGGGUUGGUAAGUCAGUGGUGAAAGUUUGCGGCUCAACCGUAAACUGGCCAUUGAUACUGGCAGCCUUGAUUACAGUUGAGGUAGGCGGAAUUCGUGGUGUAGCGGUGACAUGCUUAGAUAUCACGCAGAACUCCGAUUGCGAAGGCAGCUUACUAACCUGCCACUGACAUUCAUGCUCGAAAGUGUGGGUAUCAAACAGGAUUAGAUACCCGGGUAGUC
This 460-nucleotide ribosomal RNA is filed under the name uncultured bacterium. RNAcentral's name for it is "partial 16S ribosomal RNA". It matches the Rfam family "Bacterial small subunit ribosomal RNA", at positions 338 to 795 of the family's 1533-position model. The record is from RNAcentral.